Molecule: ribosomal RNA, 496 nt
Filed under: uncultured bacterium
Lineage: Bacteria
Description: partial 16S ribosomal RNA
Rfam family: Bacterial small subunit ribosomal RNA
Source: RNAcentral
GAUGAACGCUGGCGGCGUGCCUAAUACAUGCAAGUCGAGCGAACGGACGAGAAGCUUGCUUCUCUGGUGUUAGCGGCGGACGGGUGAGUAACACGUGGAUAACCUACCUAUAAGACUGGGAUAACUUCGGGAAACCGGAGCUAAUACCGGAUAAUAUUUUGAACCGCAUGGUUCAAAAGUGAAAGACGGUCUUGCUGUCACUUAUAGAUGGAUCCGCGCUGCAUUAGCUAGUUGGUAAGGUAACGGCUUACCAAGGCAACGAUGCAUAGCCGACCUGAGAGGGUGAUCGGCCACACUGGAACUGAGACACGGUCCAGACUCCUACGGGAGGCAGAAGUAGGGAAUCUUCCGCAAUGGGCGAAAGCCUGACGGAGCAACGCCGCGUGAGUGAUGAAGGUCUUCGGAUCGUAAAACUCUGUUAUUAGGGAAGAACAUAUGUGUAAGUAACUGUGCACAUCUUGACGGUACCUAAGCAGAAAGCCACGGCUAACUACGU